UAAAGCAUGUUGUCAGUGUUCCACCAUUACAGCUCCCUGUUGAGCCUUUUUCUAUCUCCUGAUGAUCAUCCAGACUCCUGCAUCUGCUUGUUGGUCUCAUUUGACAGCAUACAUGUGGAAAUGGCUUCAAUAAGAAAGGCUUGGGUCUGAAAAAUGGUAAUUAUUUCCAGCGUGGACCAGACUGAAAAAUGAUUUCCGAGCAUCUGGUUGGUCAUUGUAUGGAGAAGCACUUUGGAGACUGAGUCAACACACCUGAGGGAGAGUGAAUAAAGCAAUCAGCAGAUGACACACACCUACAGAACACCUGGAGGCAGACAAAGGAGCUGAUUGGCUGCUCUUAAACAUUCUCAAAAUAAAAAGCUUUUACCUCAGAAAGAGAAAUAAGAGAAAGAGCGGAGGAAGAUUAAUAAAGAGAAAAGUAGUAAAAAAUAAAGAAGGAAGAAACAGAAGGAAAAAUGCAGGAUUUUGGGCAGACAUCUUUGAGAAAAGCAGAAUUAAGAUGAUAUUUAAAUGAUGUAAGUUGAACACAAUACAGAAAACUCAUCUGCAGGAACUUCAUUUAAUGAAAGAAAUGUACUCAACAUCAGGAGAUAUAAAGCAGGAAGACAAUCUGAAUGUGGCUUAUUUGAAUGAAUUCCUCCCAACAUGCAGAGUUGGCUAAGCAGUUAAAUGUGAUGAAAUUAGUCCCAGGCUGCCAGUCUUUCCAGUAGUUUUAAUAGUUUUGAAAGUUCAGGACGCAGCAUGUUGGGCUGACUGGUUUGCAUAAUAAUUUGCAGA
Molecule: long non-coding RNA, 777 nt
Organism: Girardinichthys multiradiatus
Lineage: Eukaryota; Metazoa; Chordata; Actinopteri; Cyprinodontiformes; Goodeidae
Exons: 2
Source: RefSeq, a predicted model, not a curated record